CUUUUCUUGAAUUUUAAUAUGAGAUAUGACCUGCCCACUGAUAAAUUUGAAGGGCCGCGGUAUUUUGACCGUGCAAAGGUAGCAUAAUCAUUAGUCUUUUAAUUGUGGACUGGAAUGAAUGGUUGGACGAGGAAUAUACUGUUUCUUAUUAUUUUAUUGAAUUUAAUUUUUAAGUUAAAAAGCUUAAAUUUAUUUAUAGGACGAGAAGACCCUAUAGAGUUUAUAUACAUUAUUCUAUUUAUUUUGUUUGUUUAUUUUAUUUAGUAUUUAAUAUAUUUUAUUGGGGUGAUUGGAAGAAUUAAUUAACUCUUUUUGUUUAGAUAUACAUUAAUUUAUGAAUACGUGAUCCAAUUUUGUUGAUUAUAAGAUUAAA
This 373-nucleotide ribosomal RNA is filed under the name Periplaneta americana (American cockroach). Its description in RNAcentral is "partial 16S ribosomal RNA". The record is from RNAcentral. Lineage: Eukaryota; Metazoa; Arthropoda; Insecta; Blattodea; Blattidae.